Molecule: transfer RNA, 72 nt
Filed under: Tissierellia bacterium
Lineage: Bacteria; Bacillati; Bacillota; Tissierellia
Description: tRNA-Thr
Rfam family: tRNA
About the family: Transfer RNA (tRNA) molecules are approximately 80 nucleotides in length. Their secondary structure includes four short double-helical elements and three loops (D, anti-codon, and T loops). Further hydrogen bonds mediate the characteristic L-shaped molecular structure. tRNAs have two regions of fundamental functional importance: the anti-codon, which is responsible for specific mRNA codon recognition, and the 3' end, to which the tRNAs corresponding amino acid is attached (by aminoacyl-tRNA synthetases). tRNAs cope with the degeneracy of the genetic code in two manners: having more than one tRNA (with a specific anti-codon) for a particular amino acid; and 'wobble' base-pairing, i.e. permitting non-standard base-pairing at the 3rd anti-codon position.
Source: RNAcentral
GCUACUGUGGCGCAGUGGUAGCGCAACUGAUUCGUAAUCAGUAGGUCAGGAGUUCGAAUCUCCUCAGUAGCU